ACAAACUUGGUCAUUUAGAGGAAGUAAAAGUCGUAACAAGGUUUCCGUAGGUGAACCUGCGGAAGGAUCAUUAAUGAUAUUUUUAAAGCAAACCAAGCUUUUUUUUUUAAAAAGUAAGGUUUUGCGAAUAUAUAUUUAAAACCCCCCACUCUUUAAAAAAAGAAUUUUUCAUUUUUAUAUAUAUAAAAUGAAUAAAAAAAGAUCACUUUCAACAACGGAUCUCUUGGCUCUCGCAUCGAUGAAGAACGCAGC
This 252-nucleotide unclassified non-coding RNA is filed under the name uncultured fungus. RNAcentral describes it as "partial contains small subunit ribosomal RNA, internal transcribed spacer 1, and 5.8S ribosomal RNA". The stretch from base 1 to 73 matches the Rfam family "Eukaryotic small subunit ribosomal RNA", at positions 1759 to 1831 of the family's 1831-position model. The record is from RNAcentral. Lineage: Eukaryota; Fungi.